GCAGCGUGCGGCUGACGGGGCGGUUAAUUUCGUCAGAUGUAUAAGCCCCGAGCUUAACUUGGGAAUUGCAUCUGAAACUGGUUGGCUAGAGUCUUGUAGAGGGGGGUAGAAUUCCAUGUGUAGCGGUGAAAUGCGUAGAGAUGUGGAGGAAUACCGGUGGCGAAGGCGGCCCCCUGGACAAAGACUGACGCUCAGGUGCGAAAGCGUGGGGAGCAAACAGGAUUAGAUACCCUGGUAGUCCACGCUGUAAACGAUGUCGAUUUAGAGGUUGUGGUCUUGAACCGUGGCUUCUGGAGCUAACGCGUUAAAUCGACCGCCUGGGGAGUACGGCCGCAAGGUUAAAACUCAAAUGAAUUGACGGGGGCCCGCACAAGCGGUGGAGCAUGUGGUUUAAUUCGAUGCAACGCGAAGAACCUUACCUACUCUUGACAUCCAGCGAAUCCUUUAGAGAUAGAGGAGUGCCUUCGGGAACGCUGAGACAGGUGCUGCAUGGGUGUCGUCAGCUCGUGUUGUGAAAUGUUGGGUUAAGUCCCGCAACGAGCGCAACCCUUAUCCUUUGUUGCCAGCACGUAAUGGUGGGAACUCAAAGGAGACUGCCGGUGAUAAACCGGAGGAAGGUGGGGAUGACGUCAAGUCAUCAUGGCCCUUUACGAGUAGGGCUACACACGUGCUACAAUGGCAGAUACAAAGAGAAGCGACCUCGCGAGAGCAAGCGGAUCUCAUAAAGUCUGUCGUCAGUCCGGAUUGUAGUCUGCAACUCGACUCCAUGAAGUCUGGAAUCGCUAGUAAUCGUAGAUCAACAUGCUACGGUGAUACGUUCCCCCCGCGGGUCAUAUAAA
RNAcentral lists this ribosomal RNA (839 nucleotides) under Listeria monocytogenes. RNAcentral's name for it is "bacterial SSU rRNA". It matches the Rfam family "Bacterial small subunit ribosomal RNA", at positions 562 to 1387 of the family's 1533-position model. Lineage: Bacteria; Bacillati; Bacillota; Bacilli; Caryophanales; Listeriaceae. The record is from RNAcentral.